This 214-nucleotide long non-coding RNA is filed under the name Trifolium pratense (red clover). RNAcentral's name for it is "long non-coding RNA (TPRA_LNC004508)". The record is from RNAcentral. Lineage: Eukaryota; Viridiplantae; Streptophyta; Magnoliopsida; Fabales; Fabaceae.
CUUCACAACACUGAAUUUGAACGUGUUGGGUAAGAACUAUACUCAUAACUCAGUAGCUUGUAACAAUGCAUGAAUUGGUUUUACUCGACCAUUUGCAUGUUAUUGUCCUACCCAGCAAUCAUCAUAUGCAAGGUGUUUGUAUAUUCACCUCAAAUGCAUAUGGAGACGCAUAUCUUUCUAGUAUCACUUUGAUACUGUCAAUUUCUUGUUAGUU